Long non-coding RNA from Octopus sinensis (East Asian common octopus), 839 nucleotides. RefSeq lists it as uncharacterized. The transcript is spliced from 2 exons. Lineage: Eukaryota; Metazoa; Mollusca; Cephalopoda; Octopoda; Octopodidae. The record is from RefSeq and is a predicted model, not a curated record.
CAUGAGAAAGGAAAAUGUCCCAGAUUCCAUUCAAUAGGAUGGUAACAAUUCCAGUUGAUAUUUCCAGCAAGGAAAAUGUAUCAAAUUCAUUUUUGUUUUUUGGGGAGGUGGUCAUGGUGUUUCUAAUCUUUAUUUUGAGGGUUUUGUACCCUUCCCUCACCUACCUCCAUAUUCUUAAAUUUUUUCAUUCUUUUUAUCUUUAAUUGAAGGAGAGAGAGAGAGGAGAAAGAUAAUGGGGAAAAAAAAAAUAGACCAAGAAAGAAAGGAGGAAAGACAGAUAGAUUGGAGAGAGAGAGAGAGAGACAUAUGUAUGUUGUUGUUGUUUAGCCACAGGUCAGCUUUGACCGAGCAGACCUACAAUCAAAAGUAUUUCAGCUAGGGAUACACUUAUUCAAAACUGUGUAGCCAAGACAACAUUAUCCAAUGUGUUCUUCCUUAAUAAGAUUGUAGGGUGCAAUUUAGCAGUUACUUCUAGCAAGUCAAGUGACCACAUUCAUACCCACCUUAUUUAAGAUAUAUAUAUACAUAUUUAUAUAAGAGGGAGUAGACAGGGGAGGAUAGUAAUGAGAAAGAUAGGUAAUAUCAAAUAUGUAUGUGUAUAUAUAUAUAUAUAUAUAUAUAUAUUAUAUAUACAUAUAUAUAUAUAUAUUAUAUAUACACACAUACAUACAUACAUAUCCCACACAUGCACUUUAGUAAUCAAACCUGUAUAAAGCCAUUUUCAAUUCAAAUAAUAACUAUUAUACAAAAAGCUUGUGUGUGUGUGUGUGUUGUGUGUGUGUGUGUGUUUGUGUGUGUGUGUGAGGGAGAAGGGGAAAGAAGAAACUGAAUGUGACAAA